UCCUCCUUAGCUCAGUUGGUUAGAGCAUCUGACUGUUAAUCAGAGGGCCGCUGGUUCGAGCCCAGCAGGAGGAGC
This 75-nucleotide transfer RNA is filed under the name Chryseobacterium indologenes. RNAcentral describes it as "tRNA-Asn(gtt)". It matches the Rfam family "tRNA". From Rfam's summary of the family: Transfer RNA (tRNA) molecules are approximately 80 nucleotides in length. Their secondary structure includes four short double-helical elements and three loops (D, anti-codon, and T loops). Further hydrogen bonds mediate the characteristic L-shaped molecular structure. tRNAs have two regions of fundamental functional importance: the anti-codon, which is responsible for specific mRNA codon recognition, and the 3' end, to which the tRNAs corresponding amino acid is attached (by aminoacyl-tRNA synthetases). tRNAs cope with the degeneracy of the genetic code in two manners: having more than one tRNA (with a specific anti-codon) for a particular amino acid; and 'wobble' base-pairing, i.e. permitting non-standard base-pairing at the 3rd anti-codon position. The record is from RNAcentral. Lineage: Bacteria; Pseudomonadati; Bacteroidota; Flavobacteriia; Flavobacteriales; Weeksellaceae.